GCCUCCUUAGCUCAGUGGUAGAGCAACGCUUUUGUAAAGCGUGGGUCAGGGGUUCAAAUCCUCUAGGAGGCUCCA
Molecule: transfer RNA, 75 nt
Filed under: Candidatus Woesebacteria bacterium
Lineage: Bacteria; Candidatus Woeseibacteriota
Description: tRNA-Thr
Rfam family: tRNA
About the family: Transfer RNA (tRNA) molecules are approximately 80 nucleotides in length. Their secondary structure includes four short double-helical elements and three loops (D, anti-codon, and T loops).
Source: RNAcentral